This 384-nucleotide unclassified non-coding RNA is filed under the name uncultured Intrasporangiaceae bacterium. RNAcentral describes it as "contains 16S-23S intergenic spacer region". The record is from RNAcentral. Lineage: Bacteria; Bacillati; Actinomycetota; Actinomycetes; Micrococcales; Intrasporangiaceae.
UCCGAGUUGACCCCGGCAGUCUCCCAUGAGUCCCCAGCACCCCGAAGGGCCUGCUGGCAACAUGGAACGAGGGUUGCGCUCGUUGCGGGACUUAACCCAACAUCUCACGACACGAGCUGACGACAACCAUGCACCACCUGUGUACCGACCUUGCGGGGCACCCAUCUCUGGAUGUUUCCGGUACAUGUCAAGCCUUGGUAAGGUUCUUCGCGUUGCAUCGAAUUAAUCCACAUGCUCCGCCGCUUGUGCGGGCCCCCGUCAAUUCCUUUGAGUUUUAGCCUUGCGGCCGUACUCCCCAGGCGGGGAACUUAAUGCGUUAGCUGCGGCACAGAUCUCGUGGAAUGAGACCCACACCUAGUUCCCAACGUUUACGGCGUGGACUAC